Molecule: ribosomal RNA, 399 nt
Filed under: Plethogenesia sp. BYU IGCEP121
Lineage: Eukaryota; Metazoa; Arthropoda; Insecta; Ephemeroptera; Ephemeridae
Description: partial 12S ribosomal RNA
Source: RNAcentral
AAACUACGAUUAGAUACCCUAUUAUUAAAAGGUUAAUAGUGUCGUAAGAGUAGUAAUAGUUAUAGUCUUGAAACUCAAAGAAUUUGACGGUAAUUUAGUCUUGUCAGAGGAACUUGCCCUAUAAUCGAUAAUCCUCGUUAUACUUUGCUUAAUUUGGUUAAACAGCUUAUAUAUCGCCGUCAUAAGGAUAUAUUGGGAGAUUUAUAUUCGAGAAAUUUAAUAGAUAAAAUGUCAGGUCAAGGUGUAGUUAAUGAUUAAGAAGAGGUGAGUUACAAUAUGAUUUAGGUAUAUGGAUUUUAAAGUGAAAUUUUUAAAUAAAGGUGGAUUUGGAAGUAAGAUAUAAAAGAAAAUAUAUUUGAUAUAAGCUCUAAAUUAUGUACACAUCGCCCGUCGCUCUUA